Oncorhynchus tshawytscha (Chinook salmon) is the source of this 763-nucleotide long non-coding RNA. NCBI's taxonomy places the organism in Eukaryota, Metazoa, Chordata, Actinopteri, Salmoniformes, Salmonidae. The record is from Ensembl.
CCGGCUAUUUUUAUAAAAUGGUGUAAAAUAUUUACAGGAAAUCUACACACCACUCAGUUCGUCACACAAAGCACUGUGUGCCGUGUCCAUAGAAGAAGAAGCCAUGUUCUGAUCAAUCUUGGUUUCAAAUUCAGUUCGCCUCUGUUAUGGAGAGUGUAUUGAAUACUGCAGUCACCGAGACAAUGAAACUUUUCGAAACAACUAUUGAGGAACUGCGAGCCGAAAUAUCCAGAAUAAAAAAAGAGAACAAGGACCUCAAAUCGAGGCGUCGAUCCAAUGAAAUAACGAAGAGAUGGACCGGUGAAAGUGAACGCCAAAACCACAGAGCCCAGACCGAGUCAAAGUGCUACACGUAUCGGAAAAUGUGACAUCGGCGUUCAAUGCGUUCUGACAAAGCAGGCUUUACCUUGGGCUGGGGAGCAGCACCUGCGGGAGGAGGACCAGGGGACUGAGCUGCACUGUGGAGCGUAUGACGAGGAGGGCAACCCACAGAUGGCCUUUGUUCUGAUCAAACAGGAGGUGGACUGGGUAAGACAGGCUUCUAGCCUGAGUCCCCAGCUAGUCUAAGUCCCAGAUCUGUUUGUGCUGUCUUGUCAAUUCAUCCACCUCUCUAUACUCAACCUGUUGUUGGUGAACCCAGAAAAAAAGAGAAACCUUCACACUGCGCUUGCUAGUAUCACUUGUUUAUUUAAGCUUAUGUACAUCGGCCUCACAGUCUUUGUCAGAGUUUUCAAUGACCCUAAGCUUUUGUGGUUGAUUGUGC